RNAcentral lists this ribosomal RNA (303 nucleotides) under uncultured bacterium. RNAcentral's name for it is "partial 16S ribosomal RNA". It matches the Rfam family "Bacterial small subunit ribosomal RNA", at positions 507 to 809 of the family's 1533-position model. The record is from RNAcentral.
AGCAGUAGCCGCGGUAAUACGGAGGAUCCAAGCGUUAUCCGGAAUCAUUGGGUUUAAAGGGUCCGUAGGCGGUCUUGUAAGUCAGUGGUGAAAGCCCAUCGCUCAACGGUGGAACGGCCAUUGAUACUGCAGGACUUGAAUUAUUGGGAAGUAACUAGAAUAUGUAGUGUAGCGGUGAAAUGCUUAGAGAUUACAUGGAAUACCAAUUGCGAAGGCAGGUUACUACCAAUUGAUUGACGCUGAUGGACGAAAGCGUGGGUAGCGAACAGGAUUAGAUACCCGGGUAGUCCCUGUCUCUUAUAA